RNAcentral lists this ribosomal RNA (484 nucleotides) under uncultured bacterium. Its description in RNAcentral is "partial 16S ribosomal RNA". It matches the Rfam family "Bacterial small subunit ribosomal RNA", at positions 30 to 507 of the family's 1533-position model. The record is from RNAcentral.
AUUGAACGCUGGCGGAAUGCUUUACACAUGCAAGUCGAACGGCAGCACGGGGGCAGCCCUGGUGGCGAGUGGCGAACGGGUGAGUAAUACAUCGGAACGUGCCCGGUCGUGGGGGAUAACGUAGCGAAAGUUACGCUAAUACCGCAUACGAUCUGAGGUUGAAAGCGGGGGACCUUCGGGCCUCGCGCGAUCGGAGCGGCCGAUGUCAGAUUAGGUAGUUGGUGGGGUAAAGGCCUACCAAGCCGACGAUCUGUAGCUGGUCUGAGAGGACGACCAGCCACACUGGGACUGAGACACGGCCCAGACUCCUACGGGAGGCAGCAGUGGGGAAUUUUGGACAAUGGGCGCAAGCCUGAUCCAGCCAUUCCGCGUGCAGGACGAAGGCCUUCGGGUUGUAAACUGCUUUUGUACGGAACGAAAAGGCUCUGGCUAAUACCUGGGGCUCAUGACGGUACCGUAAGAAUAAGCACCGGCUAACUACGUG